GGUAGCAUAAUAAUUAGUCNUUUAAUUGAAGGCUUGCAUGAAUGAGUAAAUGAGAAAUUUUUUUUAUUAUUAAAAUUUUUUGAAAUUAAUUUUUAAGUUAAAAAGCUUAUUUAUUUUUUUGGGACGAUAAGACCCNAUNGAACUUUAAUUUAAUUUUGUUUAUUUUUUUUUGGUAAAUUAACUUAUUUAAAUUUUAUUAAUUUUUUAUUGGGGUGGUAAAUAAAUAAAACUUUAUUUUUUUAAUUCAAUUAAUUUUUGUAUUUUAUGAUCCAGUAAAUUUGAUUUUAAGAUUAAGUUACCUUAGGGAUANCAGCGUAAUUCUUAUGGGGAGUUCAUAUUUAUAUAAGAGUUUGCGACCUCGAUGUUGAAUUAANAUUAUUUAAUGGGGCAG
Molecule: ribosomal RNA, 391 nt
Filed under: Proconia esmeraldae
Lineage: Eukaryota; Metazoa; Arthropoda; Insecta; Hemiptera; Cicadellidae
Description: partial large subunit ribosomal RNA
Source: RNAcentral